AUUGAACGCUGGCGGCAUGCCUUACACAUGCAAGUCGAACGGUAACAGGUCUUCGGAUGCUGACGAGUGGCGAACGGGUGAGUAAUACAUCGGAACGUGCCCGAUCGUGGGGGAUAACGCAGCGAAAGCUGUGCUAAUACCGCAUACGAUCUACGGAUGAAAGCGGGGGAUCGCAAGACCUCGCGCGGACGGAGCGGCCGAUGGCAGAUUAGGUAGUUGGUGGGAUAAAAGCUUACCAAGCCGACGAUCUGUAGCUGGUCUGAGAGGACGACCAGCCACACUGGGACUGAGACACGGCCCAGACUCCUGCGGGAGGCAGCAGUGGGGAAUGUUGGACAAUGGGCGCAAGCCUGAUCCAGCCAUGCCGCGUGCAGGAUGAAGGCCUUCGGGUUGUAAACUGCUUUUGUACGGAACGAAAAAGCUCUCUCUAAUACAGGGGGUGAAUGACGGUACCGUAAGAAUAAGCACCGGCUAACUACGUG
Molecule: ribosomal RNA, 482 nt
Filed under: uncultured bacterium
Lineage: Bacteria
Description: partial 16S ribosomal RNA
Rfam family: Bacterial small subunit ribosomal RNA
Source: RNAcentral